RNAcentral lists this ribosomal RNA (504 nucleotides) under uncultured bacterium. Its description in RNAcentral is "partial 16S ribosomal RNA". It matches the Rfam family "Bacterial small subunit ribosomal RNA", at positions 28 to 506 of the family's 1533-position model. The record is from RNAcentral.
GACGAACGCUGGCGGCGUGCCUAAUACAUGCAAGUAGAACGCACAGUUUAUACCGUAGCUUGCUACACCAUAGACUGUGAGUUGCGAACGGGUGAGUAACACGUAGGUAACCUGCCUGGUAGCGGGGGAUAACUAUUGGAAACGAUAGCUAAUACCGCAUAAUAUUAAUUAUUGCAUGAUAAUUAAUUGAAAGGUGCAAUUGCACCACUACCAGAUGGACCUGCGUUGUAUUAGCUAGUAGGUGAGGUAACGGCUCACCUAGGCGACGAUACAUAGCCGACCUGAGAGGGUGAUCGGCCACACUGGGACUGAGACACGGCCCAGACUCCUACGGGAGGCAGCAGUAGGGAAUCUUCGGCAAUGGACGAAAGUCUGACCGAGCAACGCCGCGUGAGUGAAGAAGGUUUUCGGAUCGUAAAGCUCUGUUGUAAGAGAAGAACGGGUGUGAGAGUGGAAAGUUCACACUGGGACGGUAUCUUACCAGAAAGGGACGGCUAACUACGU